UACGAAGGGGGCUAGCGUUGCUCGGAAUCACUGGGCGUAAAGCGCACGUAGGCGGAUUGCUAAGUCAGGGGUGAAAUCCUGGAGCUCAACUCCAGAACUGCCUUUGAUACUGGCGAUCUUGAGUCCGGGAGAGGUGAGUGGAACUCCGAGUGUAGAGGUGAAAUUCGUAGAUAUUCGCAAGAACACCAGUGGCGAAGGCGGCUCACUGGCCCGAUACUGACGCUGAGGCACGAAAGCGUGGGGAGCAAACAGG
This 253-nucleotide ribosomal RNA is filed under the name uncultured bacterium. RNAcentral's name for it is "partial 16S ribosomal RNA". It matches the Rfam family "Bacterial small subunit ribosomal RNA", at positions 524 to 776 of the family's 1533-position model. The record is from RNAcentral.